This 497-nucleotide ribosomal RNA is filed under the name uncultured bacterium. RNAcentral describes it as "partial 16S ribosomal RNA". It matches the Rfam family "Bacterial small subunit ribosomal RNA", at positions 28 to 507 of the family's 1533-position model. The record is from RNAcentral.
GAUGAACGCUGGCGGCGUGCCUAAUACAUGCAAGUCGAGCGAACAGACGAGGAGCUUGCUCCUCUGCCGUUAGCGGCGGACGGGUGAGUAACACGUGGAUAACCUACCUAUAAGGCUGGGAUAACUUCGGGAAACCGGAGCUAAUACCGGAUAAUAUAUUGAACCGCAUGGUUCAAUAGUGAAAGACGGUUUUGCUGUCACUUAUAGAUGGAUCCGCGCCGCAUUAGCUAGUUGGUAAGGUAACGGCUUACCAAGGCGACGAUGCGUAGCCGACCUGAGAGGGUGAUCGGCCACACUGGAACUGAGACACGGUCCAGACUCCUACGGGAGGCAGCAGUAGGGAAUCUUCCGCAAUGGGCGAAAGCCUGACGGAGCAACGCCGCGUGAGUGAUGAAGGUCUUCGGAUCGUAAAACUCUGUUAUUAGGGAAGAACAAAUGUGUAAGUAACUAUGCACGUCUUGACGGUACCUAAUCAGAAAGCCACGGCUAACUACGUG